RNAcentral lists this unclassified non-coding RNA (324 nucleotides) under soil metagenome. Its description in RNAcentral is "partial contains 5.8S ribosomal RNA, internal transcribed spacer 2, and large subunit ribosomal RNA". The stretch from base 1 to 120 matches the Rfam family "5.8S ribosomal RNA", at positions 35 to 154 of the family's 154-position model. The record is from RNAcentral.
GAUGAAGAACGUAGCGAAAUGCGAUAAGUAGUGUGAAUUGCAGAAUUCAGUGAAUCAUCGAAUCUUAGAACGCACAUUGCGCCCCUUGGUAUUCCAUGGGGCAUGCCUGUUCGAGCGUCAUUUGUACCUUCAAGCUUUGCUUGGUGUUGGGUGUUUGUCCUGAGGGACUCGCCUUAAAGUAAUUGGCAGCCAGUGUUUUGGUUUUGAAGCGCAGCACAAGUCGCGAUUCAAAGCUAUACGCCAGCUUCCACAAGCCUUUUUCACUUUUGACCUCGGAUCAGGUAGGGAUACCCGCUGAACUUAAGCAUAUCAAUAAGCGGAGGA